This 250-nucleotide unclassified non-coding RNA is filed under the name plant metagenome. RNAcentral describes it as "partial contains small subunit ribosomal RNA, internal transcribed spacer 1, and 5.8S ribosomal RNA". The stretch from base 201 to 250 matches the Rfam family "5.8S ribosomal RNA", at positions 1 to 50 of the family's 154-position model. The record is from RNAcentral.
UCUCCGUAGGUGAACCUGCGGAGGGAUCAUUACAGAGUUCAUGCCCUACCGGGUAGAUCUCCCACCCUAUGUUAUUAUUACUUUGUUGCUUUGGCGGGCCGUUAGGCUCCGGCCCGACUACCGGCCCCGGCUGGUAAGCGCCCGCCAGAGGACCCAAAACCCUGAAUAUUAGUGUCGUCUGAGUACUAUAUAAUAGUUAAAACUUUCAACAACGGAUCUCUUGGUUCUGGCAUCGAUGAAGAACGCAGGC